RNAcentral lists this unclassified non-coding RNA (387 nucleotides) under soil metagenome. RNAcentral describes it as "partial contains 5.8S ribosomal RNA, internal transcribed spacer 2, and large subunit ribosomal RNA". The stretch from base 1 to 120 matches the Rfam family "5.8S ribosomal RNA", at positions 35 to 154 of the family's 154-position model. The record is from RNAcentral.
GAUGAAGAACGCAGCGAAAUGCGAUAAGUAAUGUGAAUUGCAGAAUUCAGUGAAUCAUCGAAUCUUUGAACGCACCUUGCGCUCCUUGGUAUUCCGAGGAGCAUGCCUGUUUGAGUGUCAUGAAAUUCUCAACCUUUUCAGCUUUCUUUGUUGAUCAGGCUUGGAUGUGGGAGUAUGCGGGCUUCUCAGCAGUCGGCUCUCCUGAAAUGCAUUAGCGGGACCUUUGUUGCCUGGCUUUGGUGUGAUAAUUAUCUACGCCAUUGUAGUCAAGCAGCUUAAAAUGAGGUUUCAGCUUCUAACCGUCUCCCCUGAGACAACUUUUUGACAAUUUGACCUCAAAUCAGGUAGGACUACCCGCUGAACUUAAGCAUAUCAAUAAGCGGAGGA